UUGUAUCUGAUGUUGUAGGGUACUCAAAAAUUAAACUAUAACACGGAAAAGUGGGUGAAAUGUUAGCUUUUAGCUAAAGCUAAGCGAGGAUUCUUAUUUCUCCCACAAUGCAUUCCAUGACGUCACAUGAGGCACUCGCUGACUGUUGGACGACAGACAGCCCCGCGGCCCGCCUACCAUUUUGAGGGAGAGUGAUACGAGGAGUUUAAGUUAGCUAGCUAGUGAAGCAGUGACACUGACAGUGACAGAUUUAUAAGUAAAUAUAGAUAGAUAGAUCUUCCGAAGCUGGGUGCAGUUUGUCAAGAUUAGGCGAGCAGAUUUUUCAGCUAAGUUAACGUUAGCUCUGUCGCCGCCUACUCGAGAAUAUGCAGCGCGCAUUUCAAAGAGGAGGAUAACCACUCAGGGGAUGCCAAGAUGGUCUUACUUCACUUGGAUUAAAGAGUGAGAGGAGUGCUAAAUUACUUCCAACCGCACUGCCGUCUGUGAACGCAAACCUCUCUGCUUGCCCUGUCCCGAGGUCGAGAGACACCGUCUGCCGCAAGCGAGAAAUUGCCACGGUUAUGCAACAUCAUUAAUGAAGGCCCUUCGGGAAAGCUACACCAAUUCACCUGCGGCUCUUCGAGAGGUUAGCGCCAGUUUGUCCCCAUCGCCCCAUCGCCACAUCCUUCAAACAGGUUCCUGAGGAGGCCGUCAGCCUCUACCUAGCCCGGCAGUCACGCUUCAAGAACCUAAUUUCACAUUAUUUUCUUUCCACAGACAAGUCCAAUGGUUUAGUUGUAUUUAUUUAUUUUAGUUGUUAGUUAUCUUCUUUCCUUCUGUCCCUGUCAUCUCAUUUAGUGGUGGUUUCCUGCAUUCUGCAUGUUUUGUUUUUUUCUUUGUGUGCUGUUUCUUUGGUUUUACUUUGCACAAAAUCAUUACUUUUUUUUCUUAGGCUAUUGAUUCCCGUGAUCUUGUUUAUAAAUUCCGAUUCAGCCAUUAGCCUACCUUCGUGAUCACGCAAAGCGGUCUGGAGAGGCGGUCUGUUCAGAAUUACAACCAACAUAAAAUAUAAGUGUGCAUGUACAAAUUUGCAGUAAUGUUCGGUAAAAAUAAACUUUAUUAACAUAAAAUGAAACCGGAGAGAUAGUUAAUGAUCCAUAACUGUUAACGGGAUUAAUUUCAGCAUGGCUAAUGUGCCCCUUCUUCCUACCCUAAUCAUGGACUAAACCAUAUCAGAAAACACAUACAAAUACAUGUAUUUGAUGUACAGUACACAUGUAUAUUUGAAUCACACAUAACUAACCUUAACCCAUAAACAUAAUAUAUUAAUUGUGUGUGUGUGUGUAUAUAUAUAUAUAUAUAUAUAUACACACACACACACACACACAAUUCAUUUAUUUAAAUGGGUUAGGGUUAUGUGUUUAUAUAUGCAUAGGCCUACAUACAUAUGUGAAUAUAUAUUAUAAAUAAUAUAUACUUCAGGUUACCAUAAGUUAGCUAACUUUAAUGAAGAGUUGGUCAUGUAAGCUAUAGCUUGCUGCAAUUAAUGCAUUAUCUUCCAAUAAGCAUUAACUAAAACUGGCUACAUAAAAUGUACUGACUAGAUUCACGAGAGGUCGGCUAAUGUGUGUAAAAGUAAAACAAUACAGUAAUUUCAUUAAUUUACCAGCUCCACGACACGCGUUAGUUCCUUAUUCCAGAGUUCCUAUGGCGGUCUAUGGGAGUGUCGCAACUCUCUCUCUCUAUGGCUCUCUAGACAACACUAUUACAGGCUAAAGAUUUUUUUGUAUAGAGUUGUUUACUUAAAACCUGUGUCUUUGUUCAGUUAUCUUUGUCCUUGUUCAGAAAAUGUUUAGUAACCAUUACAAGCAAUGCCAAUAAACUGUUUUAUUCUUAUAAAAA
This is a long non-coding RNA of Pimephales promelas (fathead minnow), 1881 nucleotides long. RefSeq lists it as uncharacterized. Lineage: Eukaryota; Metazoa; Chordata; Actinopteri; Cypriniformes; Leuciscidae. The record is from RefSeq and is a predicted model, not a curated record.